GCUGACGACAGUAUAAACAACUGCAUAGACGUUGAUGUCGGUGCUUGGAACAAAAUGUGUACAACUCUUGCGAAUGUACGAUAAGAACUUUUCAUACAACUGAACUAUUUACGUUUCGUUCCUAACCUCAACAGCAGGGCUGGUUUUCGAGAUGGUGCAGCAGCUGGAAGGGAUGCAGUUUUUCAAAAAGGUUUUGACACUGGAUAUGCUGAAGGAUACCAAGCUGCAUUAUCAUUGGGUUAUUUAAAAGGUGCCUUAAGCACAAUCAUUCAUCAUACGGAGAUGGCCACUGAUUCUGCAGUUAGUGUAUUAAACACUUCUUUAGAGAAAACUUCAGUAGGCAUGUGUCAGUUGUGUCAGACAAAUCCUACUAAAAUUCAGGAUCACAAAGGAAUCGUCGUUACAAAAUCAAUGUCAGACAUUAUUGGUAAUCAAAGAGAUUAUAUAAGAAAUGCACUAGACAAAAUAGAAAAGGACAAUUCCCAUUUGCUAAACGAAUGGAGUGCGACACCAAAGGAAUCAACGGGAAGGAUAAAUUAGGACUUAGGUAUUUAAUAUAUUUCUUUAAUAUGACAGAGAAGGCCUGGAUAAUUUCAGUUGUAUAUAUUCUCACUAAAGUGAAUUAAUACAUUUAAGUCCAGUAUUUGAAUAAAAAUGUUUACUUUAAUUUA
Zootermopsis nevadensis is the source of this 671-nucleotide non-coding RNA. The record is from RefSeq and is a predicted model, not a curated record. NCBI's taxonomy places the organism in Eukaryota, Metazoa, Arthropoda, Insecta, Blattodea, Termopsidae.